This 464-nucleotide long non-coding RNA is filed under the name Vigna radiata. Its description in RNAcentral is "long non-coding RNA (VRAD_LNC007410)". Lineage: Eukaryota; Viridiplantae; Streptophyta; Magnoliopsida; Fabales; Fabaceae. The record is from RNAcentral.
UAAAUUAAAAAAAUCAACAAAGUUAUAUUUCAAUAUGUCACAAAAUGCAUGGAGGGGGCUGAAAUGAUCCAAUAAAGAGAAACAGAAGAAAAAAUACAUACAAAGAGCUCCGAGCAUAACAUUAACAGUUAUUCAAGUCAAAGAUUCAAGGUCUUGCAACAUAACAAUUAAAAAGAGGAAGGGUGGGGAAAGAAUGAAGCACUAGAAAGAGUUUCCAACAUUUUCUUCAAUGUGUUUUCUCGUGCUUCAAAUGGCAAACGAUAUUCUUGUAUAAAAUAAACGCAGAUGUUAACAGUAAAACAUCAAUAAUUCAUCAUUCAUAAUUAAAAAUAAUGCAUAAACAAUUCCAUUAAAAUGCAGGUAGAUUGUUUAAUCAAAGAAUAUAUUUUAAAAUCAAUCAAGCAUUUAUAACACAUAAUUAUAAUAUUUUUAAAUCAAUCAAACAUUUAUGACCCAUAAUUAAU